GUGCUUGCUUCGGCAGCACAUACACUAAAAAUUGGAACGAUACAGAGAUUAGCACAGCCCCUGCGCAAGGAUGACGCGCAAAUUCGUGAAGUGUUUCGUAUUUUU
Acomys russatus (golden spiny mouse) is the source of this 105-nucleotide small nuclear RNA. The record is from RefSeq and is a predicted model, not a curated record. Lineage: Eukaryota; Metazoa; Chordata; Mammalia; Rodentia; Muridae.